This 332-nucleotide ribosomal RNA is filed under the name uncultured Halobacteriovorax sp. Its description in RNAcentral is "bacterial SSU rRNA". It matches the Rfam family "Bacterial small subunit ribosomal RNA", at positions 271 to 597 of the family's 1533-position model. The record is from RNAcentral. Lineage: Bacteria; Pseudomonadati; Bdellovibrionota; Bacteriovoracia; Bacteriovoracales; Halobacteriovoraceae.
UGGCUACGAUGUUUAGCUGGUCUGAGAGGAUGAUCAGCCACACUGGAACUGAGACACGGUCCAGACUCCUACGGGAGGCAGCAGUGGGGAAUAUUGCGCAAUGGAGGAAACUCUGACGCAGCAACGCCGUGUGAGGGAGGAAGGCUUUCGGGUCGUAAACCUCUGUCAAAAAGGAAAAAUGAUGUAGAUGUGAACAUUUACAUGUGAUGGUACUUUUAAAGGAAGCACCGGCUAACUUCGUGCCAGCAGCCGCGGUAAUACGAAGGGUGCAAGCGUUGUUCGGAUUUAUUGGGCGUAAAGCGCGCGCAGGCGGAUAGGUAAGUCAGAUGUGA